Molecule: long non-coding RNA, 204 nt
Filed under: Manihot esculenta (cassava)
Lineage: Eukaryota; Viridiplantae; Streptophyta; Magnoliopsida; Malpighiales; Euphorbiaceae
Description: long non-coding RNA (MESC_LNC010059)
Source: RNAcentral
GUAACGACCCGAAAAUCGGACCGCUACCGGCGCUAGGAUCCGGGUCGACUUAAGGCCGCCAGGACCCGUAGCAAGCCAAACAUACAUCCUGGAAACCUGUUUAAUCCCAUACAUGAUCAACAAUCAUACAUAAAAAUUAAAACUUUUCUUUCAUACAUUCUAUCAUACGCCAAACUCAACCUGUGCAUGCACUGAACAUAACNN